Molecule: ribosomal RNA, 465 nt
Filed under: uncultured bacterium
Lineage: Bacteria
Description: partial 16S ribosomal RNA
Rfam family: Bacterial small subunit ribosomal RNA
Source: RNAcentral
GACGAACGCUGGCGGCGUGCUUAACACAUGCAAGUCGAACGGAAAGGCCCCAAGUUGCUUGGUUACUCGAGUGGCGAACGGGUGAGUAACACGUGUGGGAUCUGCCCUUCACUCUGGGAUAAGCCUGGGGAACUGGGGCGAAUACCGGGGAGGACCGUUCGUUAGGGUGUGCGGUGGAAAGUUUUUCGGUGUAGGAUGAGCCCGCAGCCGAUCAGCUUGUUGGUUAGGUAAUUGCCUACAAAGGCGGCGACGGGUAGCCGGCCUGAGAGGGUGUACGGCCACCUUGGUACUGCGAGACGGACCAGAAUCGUACGGGCGGCAGCAGUGGGGAAUCUUGCACAAUGGGGGCAAGCCUGAUGCAGAGACGCCGCGUGGGGGAUGCCGGCCUUCGGGUUAUAAACCUCUUUCGGAAGGGACGAAGCUUUCGUGACGGUACCUAAACAAGAAGCAACGGCUAACUACGUG